This 205-nucleotide long non-coding RNA is filed under the name Elaeis guineensis (African oil palm). RNAcentral describes it as "long non-coding RNA (EGUI_LNC050274)". Lineage: Eukaryota; Viridiplantae; Streptophyta; Magnoliopsida; Arecales; Arecaceae. The record is from RNAcentral.
AUUAGAGGUAUUAGAAUCUCCUCACAUGAAAACCUUGUCAUUACUAUUUUUAUCCUCUAUUUGGUACGAUGGAUAGAUUGAAAGAAGACUAGAUGGGGGAGAAAGGAUAGAUGAAGGAGAGGAUGCAUAGAAAACCUAUUCAUCGUCCUAUGUAUUUGGUAAAAUAUAGAAGGAUAGAAGAGAAUAAUUUUUUUCUCUAGCUGAC